RNAcentral lists this ribosomal RNA (480 nucleotides) under uncultured bacterium. RNAcentral's name for it is "bacterial SSU rRNA". It matches the Rfam family "Bacterial small subunit ribosomal RNA", at positions 30 to 506 of the family's 1533-position model. The record is from RNAcentral.
UUGAACGCUGGCGGCAUGCUUUACACAUGCAAGUCGAACGGUAACAGGCCUUCGGGUGCUGACGAGUGGCGAACGGGUGAGUAAUGCAUCGGAACGUGCCCAAUCGUGGGGGAUAACGUAGCGAAAGUUACGCUAAUACCGCAUACGCCCUGAGGGGGAAAGCAGGGGAUCUUCGGACCUUGUGCGAAUGGAGCGGCCGAUGUCAGAUUAGCUAGUUGGUGGGGUAAAGGCCCACCAAGGCGACGAUCUGUAGCGGGUCUGAGAGGAUGAUCCGCCACACUGGGACUGAGACACGGCCCAGACUCCUACGGGAGGCAGCAGUGGGGAAUUUUGGACAAUGGGCGCAAGCCUGAUCCAGCCAUGCCGCGUGCAGGAUGAAGGCCUUCGGGUUGUAAACUGCUUUUGUACGGAACGAAAAGACUCCUUCUAAUAAAGGGGGUCCAUGACGGUACCGUAAGAAUAAGCACCGGCUAACUACGU